Molecule: non-coding RNA, 571 nt
Organism: Epinephelus lanceolatus (giant grouper)
Lineage: Eukaryota; Metazoa; Chordata; Actinopteri; Perciformes; Serranidae
Source: RefSeq, a predicted model, not a curated record
CAAAGGAGGAAAGAAGCUAACACAGAAAGGAAAAGAUUCCAUAGGGACCAAACUUGGUGGAAAACCAGGCGGUAAGCCAGGUGGUAAGAAGCCCUUCAAACCGUACAACAACACAGAGAGGAAAGGCAGGCCGGGGAAAGGGCCACAGAAGAGGAAAAUGCCGUUUAAAGGGAAAAAUAAAGAAGAGGGUGGAGGUCCGGAGGCCAAGAGGGUGAAGAAAGGUGAGUUUAAGCCGAAGACGAAGGAGCUGACGGAGGAGGAGCUGAAGAAGAACAGGCAGCAGAGGAAGAAGGAUCUGAAGAAGAGCAUACAGCAGGCGGAGAGUAAGGACAUGUUCCAGAUCAUCUGUCAGUGCAAACAAGUGUGGGGGGACCUCAGGAGGUACACACGCACGCAUGCACGCACGCACACACACACACCCACAGGCAGAAAUUGAGAGUUGAGCCCCUUAACUCUGACCUUCUAUUUUCACGUCUUCAGGUUGAACUGAAACGCUCCACUACAGAUCACAUACAGUAUGUACAGUACAGCUAGCCCCCCAUACAUGCAAACUCAUUAAAGGAAUAACUUA